AUUGAACGCUGGCGGCAUGCUUUACACAUGCAAGUCGAACGGUAACAGGUUAAGCUGACGAGUGGCGAACGGGUGAGUAUGCAUCGGAACGUGCCCGAUCGUGGGGGAUAACGCAGCGAAAGCUGCGCUAAUACCGCAUACGAUCUGAGGAUGAAAGCGGGGGACCGUAAGGCCUCGCGCGAUCGGAGCGGCCGAUGUCAGAUUAGGUAGUUGGUGGGGUAAAGGCUCACCAAGCCGACGAUCUGUAGCUGGUCUGAGAGGACGACCAGCCACACUGGGACUGAGACACGGCCCAGACUCCUACGGGAGGCAGCAGUGGGGAAUUUUGGACAAUGGGCGCAAGCCUGAUCCAGCAAUGCCGCGUGCAGGAAGAAGGCCUUCGGGUUGUAAACUGCUUUUGUACGGAGCGAAAAGGCUCUCUCUAAUACAGGGGGCUCAUGACGGUACCGUAAGAAUAAGCACCGGCUAACUACGUGCCAGCAGCCGCCGUAA
This 492-nucleotide ribosomal RNA is filed under the name uncultured bacterium. RNAcentral's name for it is "partial 16S ribosomal RNA". It matches the Rfam family "Bacterial small subunit ribosomal RNA", at positions 30 to 523 of the family's 1533-position model. The record is from RNAcentral.